This 436-nucleotide ribosomal RNA is filed under the name uncultured Clostridium sp. Its description in RNAcentral is "partial 16S ribosomal RNA". It matches the Rfam family "Bacterial small subunit ribosomal RNA", at positions 341 to 792 of the family's 1533-position model. Lineage: Bacteria; Bacillati; Bacillota; Clostridia; Eubacteriales; Clostridiaceae. The record is from RNAcentral.
ACGGGAGGCAGCAGUGGGGGAUAUUGCACAAUGGAGGAAACUCUGAUGCAGCAACGCCGCGUGAGGGAAGAAGGUUUUCGGAUUGUAAACCUCUGUUUUUAGUGAAGAAACAAAUGACGGUAGCUAAGAGGAAGCCACGGCUAACUACGUGCCAGCAGCCGCGGUAAUACGUAGGUGGCAAGCGUUGUCCGGAUUUACUGGGUGUAAAGGGUGCGCAGGCGGGACUGCAAGUUGGAUGUGAAAUACCGAGGCUCAACCUCGGAGCUGCAUCCAAAACUGUAGUUCUUGAGUGAAGUAGAGGCAAGCGGAAUUCCGAGUGUAGCGGUGAAAUGCGUAGAUAUUCGGAGGAACACCAGUGGCGAAGGCGGCUUGCUGGGCUUUAACUGACGCUGAGGCACGAAAGCAUGGGUAGCAAACAGGAUUAGAUACCCUGGUA